GGGAACAGCAUGUAUAGAUGUACCAAGGAGCGCAAGAUGUCUUUCAUUAUUUCACAAAAAGAACUCCAGGAGAGCAUCUGUAACAUAAGAUAUCCUGUGGGUAGGUGACAAGAGAUGGGCCUGAAAAGGAAGCUAUGCCAGAGAAAGUGUGGUCCUGAAACCUUACUGAUGCUUUGAUUAUCUACAGAAUCCCAUAAGAAAGAAACCUCGAAAGCAGAGAAUGAAGAGGUGCCCAGCCUUGUGUGAGGCACAGCUGACCAGAACAAAUGGAGCAAAGAGGUAGCUGCUUGGUGCACUUCCCAGACU
Prionailurus viverrinus (fishing cat) is the source of this 306-nucleotide long non-coding RNA. RefSeq lists it as uncharacterized. NCBI's taxonomy places the organism in Eukaryota, Metazoa, Chordata, Mammalia, Carnivora, Felidae. The record is from RefSeq and is a predicted model, not a curated record. The transcript has 3 exons.